Molecule: long non-coding RNA, 5632 nt
Organism: Gallus gallus (chicken)
Lineage: Eukaryota; Metazoa; Chordata; Aves; Galliformes; Phasianidae
Source: Ensembl
CAUCACCGCCCCCCAUCCCCUCCCCAUCCCCUUGAGGACCCAACCCAAUGACUGACCGACCCUUCCCCUCCCCAUCCCGUUGAGGACCCAACCCAACCGUUGGCCAACCCUUCCCCACCCCAUCACCGCCCCCCAUCCCCUCCCCAUCCCCUUGAGGACCCGACCCAAUGGCUGACCGACCCUUCCCCACCCCAUCCCCUUGGGUACACCGCUGCCCCCCCCCCCUUGUCGGGGGGCUCUCGGGGAGCCCCUCAGUGCUGAGCGACCGGGCCGGGGGUGUCCUUGGGGCGAAACGACUCAGCAGACGACUGACCCGACCCCGUGGGGCUUCGGUGGUACCGCAGCUCUCCAAACCUUCAGCGCUACGGCUCAACCCCUGGCUCAACGUCACCGGGGGUGACGACCCCAUUGGAGGACCCCCCCCCCCCGGCCCCCGCUUUUGCCCGGCGCCUUUCCAACAGUUCCCUUUUCCAUGGGGGUAAUUGGGCCGCCCGGUCCCGCUGUUCCCUUUCCCGACGCCGGGCUGCUUCUUCUUCACGUCGACGGCGUUCCAAGAGUUGGAUCUUCCAACCCGGCACCGCCAUGGCCUGAGGUGGGAGGGGGACGUUGGGGAGACGUUGGGAGCGGUGGGGGACACCGAGGAUGGGGAUUUGGGGUCACCAGGGAUGGGGUCACCGAGUUUGGGGUCACCAGGGAUGGGGAUUUGGGGUCACCAGGGAUGGGGUCACCGAGUUUGGGGUCACCGGGGAUGGGGAUUUGGGGUCACCAGGGAUGGUAUGGGGUCACCAGGUAUGAUGGGGACACCGAGGAUGGGGAUUUGGGGUCAACAGGGAUGGUAUGGGGUCACCAGGUAUGAUGGGGACACCGAGGAUGGGGAUUUGGGGUCACCAGGGAUGGGGUCACCAAGUUUGGGGUCACCGGGGAUGGUAUGGGGUCACCGGGGAUGGUGGGGAGACCGGGGGUGGUGAUUUGGGGUCACUAGGGAUGGUUUGGGGUCACGAGGGAUGGUGGGGACCCCACAAAUGGGGAUUUGGGGUCACCAGGGAUGGUUUGGGGUCACCAGGGGUGGUGGGGAGAGCGAGGAUGGGGAUUUGGGGUCACCAGGGAUGGUAUGGGGUCACCAGGUAUGAUGGGGACACCGAGGAUGCGGAUUUGGGGUCACCAGGGAUGGGGUCACCGUGUUUGGGGGCACCGGGGAUGGUGGGGAGACCGAGGAUGGGGAUUUGGGGUCACCAGAGAUGGUUUGGGGUCACCAGGGAUGGAGACAUUGGGGUCACCAGGGAUGGGGUCACCGAGUUUGGGGUCACCAGGGAUGGGGAUUUGGGGUCACCAGGGAUGGGGUCACCGAGUUUGGGGUCACCGGGGAUGGGGAUUUGGGGUCACCAGGGAUGGUAGGGAGACCGAGGAUGGAGAUAUUGGGGUCACCAGGGAUGGCGUCACCGAGUUUGGGGUCACUGGGGAUGGUAGGGAGACCGGAGGUGGGGAUUUGGGGUCACCAGGGAUGGUUUGGGGUCACCAGGAGUGGUGGGGACACCGAGGAUGGGGAUUUGGGGUCACCAGGGAUGGUAUGGGGUCACCAGGUAUGAUGGGGACACCGAGGAUGGGGAUUUGGGGUCAACAGGGAUGGUAUGGGGUCACCAGGUAUGAUGGGGACACCGAGGAUGCGGAUUUGGGGUCAACAGGGAUGGGGUCACCGUGUUUGGGGGCACCGGGGAUGGUGGGGAGAGCGAGGAUGGGGAUUUGGGGUCACCAGGGAUGGUAUGGGGUCACCAGGGAUGGUAGGGAGACCGAGGAUGAGGAUUUGGGGUCACCAGGGAUGGGGUCACCGAGUUUGGGGUCACCGGGGAUGGUAGGGAGACCGAGGAUGGGGAUUUGGGGUCACCAGGGAUGGUUUGGGGUCACCAGGGAUGGAGACAUUGGGGUCACCAGGGAUGGGGUCACCGAGUUUGGGGUCACCAGGGAUGGGGAUUUGGGGUCACCAGGGAUGGGGUCACCGAGUUUGGGGUCACCGGGGAGGGGGAUUUGGGGUCACCAGGGAUGGUAUGGGGUCACCGGGGAUGGUGGGGAGACCGGGGGUGGUGAUUUGGGGUCACCAGGGAUGGUAUGGGGUCACCAGGGAUGGUAGGGAGACCGAGGAUGAGGAUUUGGGGUCACCAGGGAUGGGGUCACCGAGUUUGGGGUCACCGGGGAUGGUAGGGAGACCGAGGAUGGGGAUUUGGGGUCACCAGGGAUGGUUUGGGGUCACCAGGGAUGGAGACAUUGGGGUCACCAGGGAUGGGGUCACCGAGUUUGGGGUCACCGGGGAUGGUGGGGAGACUGAGGAUGGGGAUUUGGGGUCACCAGAGAUGGUUUGGGGUCACCAGGGAUGGAGACAUUGGGGUCACCAGGGAUGGGGUCACCGAGUUUGGGGUCAACAGGGAUGGGGAUUUGGGGUCACCAGGGAUGGGGUCACCGAGUUUGGGGUCACCGGGGAUGGGGAUUUGGGGUCACCAGGGAUGGUAUGGGGUCACCAGGGAUGGUAGGGAGACCGAGGAUGGAGAUAUUGGGGUCACCAGGGAUGGCGUCACUGAGUUUGGGGUCACUGGGGAUGGUAGGGAGACCGGAGGUGGGGAUUUGGGGUCACCAGGGAUGGUUUGGGGUCACCAGGAGUGGUGGGGACACCGAGGAUGGGGAUUUGGGGUCACCAGGGAUGGUAUGGGGUCACCAGGUAUGAUGGGGACACCGAGGAUGGGGAUUUGGGGUCACCAGGGAUGGUAUGGGGUCACCGGGGAUGGUGGGGAGACCGGGGGUGGUGAUUUGGGGUCACUAGGGAUGGUUUGGGGUCACGAGGGAUGGUGGGGACCCCACAAAUGGGGAUUUGGGGUCACCAGGGAUGGUUUGGGGUCACCGGGGAUGGUGGGGACACCGAGGGUGGGGAUUUGGGGUCACCAGGCAUGGUAUGGGGUCACCAGGUAUGAUGGGGACACCGAGGAUGCGGAUUUGGGGUCAACAGGGAUGGUAUGGGGUCACCAGGUAUGAUAGGGACACCGAGGAUGGGUAUUUGGGGUCACCAGGGAUGGGGUCACCGUGUUUGGGGGCACCGGGGAUGGUGGGGAGACCGAGGAUGGGGAUUUGGGGUCACCAGGGAUGGUUUGGGGUCACCAGGGAUGGUGGGGACAUCAGGGAUGCAGAUAUUGGGGUCACCAGGGAUGGGGCCACCGAGUUUGGGGUCACCGGGGAUGGUGGGGAGACUGGGGGUGGGGAUUUGGGGUCACCAGGGGUGGUGGGGACACCGAGGAUGGGGAUUUGGGGUCACCAUGGAUGGGGUCACCGAGUUUGGGGUCACCGGGGAUGGUGGGGAGACCGAGGAUGGGGAUUUGGGGUCACCAGGGAUGGUGGACCCCAUAGAUGGGGAUUUGGGGUCACCAGGGAUGGUUUGGGGUCACCAGGGGUGGUGGGGAGACCGAGGAUGGGGAUUUGGGGUCACCAGGGAUGGGGUCACCAUGUUUGGGGGUACCGAGGAUGGAGAUAUUGGGGUCACCAUGGAUGGUUUGGAGCCAACAGGGGUGAUGGGGACCCCACAGAUGGGGAUUUGGGACCACCAGGUAUGAUGGGGACACCGAGGAUGGGGAUUUGGGGUCACCAGGGAUGGGGUCACCAUGUUUGGGGGUACCGAGGACAGAGAUAUUGGGGUCACCAUGGAUGGUUUGGGGUCACCAGGUAUGAUGGGGACACCGAGGAUGGGGAUUUGGGGUCACCAGGGAUGGGGUCACCAUGUUUGGGGGUACCGAGGACAGAGAUAUUGGGGUCACCAUGGAUGGUUUGGGGUCACCAGGUAUGAUGGGGACACCGAGGAUGGGGAUUUGGGGUCACCAGGGAUGGGGUCACCAUGUUUGGGGGUACCGAGGACAGAGAUAUUGGGGUCACCAUGGAUGGUUUGGGGUCACCAGGGGUAGUGGGGACCCCACAGAUGGGGAUUUGGGGUCCCUGGGGAUGGUGGGGAGACCAAGGAUGGGGAUUUGGGGUCACCAGGGAUGGUGGGACCCCAUAGAUGGGGACAUUUGGGGUCAGCAGGAAUGGGGACAUUUGGGGACCCCAUAGAUGGGGAUUUGGGGACAGCAGGGAUGUUGGGGACAUAUGGGAUGGGGACAUUUGGGGUCACCAAGGAUGGGGUGACCCCAUAGAUGGGCAUUUGGGGUCACCGGCAUUGGGGGGGACCCCAUAGAUGGGGACAAUUGGGGUCUCCAAGAAUGGGGGGACCCCAUAGAUGGGCAUUUGGGGUCACCGUGGAUGGGGGGGGACAUAUGGGAUGCGGACAUAUGGGGACCCCAUAGAUGGGGAUUUGGGGACCCCAGGGAUAUGGGGACCCCAUAGAUGGGGACGUUUGGGGUCGGCAGGGUUGGGGUGACCCCAUAGUUGGGGACAUUUGGGGUCUCCAAGGAUGGGGGGACCCCAUAGAUGGGGAUUUGGGGUCACCGGGGAUGGGGGGAACCCCAAGGAUGGGGACAUCUGGGGUCACCAGGGAUGGAGAUAUUGGGGUCACUAGGGUUGGGGUGACCCCAUAGAUGGGGACAUUUGGGGUCAGCGGGGUUGGGGUGGCCCCAUAGAUGGGCAUUUGGGGUCACCGUGGAUGGGGGGGACAUAUGGGAUGCGGACAUAUGGGGACCCCAUAGAUGGGGAUUUGGGGACCCCAGGGAUAUGGGGACCCCAUAGAUGGGGACGUUUGGGGUCGGCGGGGUUGGGGUGACCCCAUAGAUGGGGAUUUGGGGCCACCGGGGAUGGGGGGAACCCCAAGGAUGGGGACAUCUGGGGUCACCAGGGAUGGAGAUAUUGGGGUCACUGGGGUUGGGGGGACCCCAUAGAUGGGGACAUUUGGGGUCUCCAAGGAUGGGGGGACCCCAUAGUUAGGCAUUUGGGGUCACCGGGGAUGAGGGGGACAUAUGGGAUGGGGACAUAUGGGGACCCCAUAGAUGGUGAUUUGGGGACCCCAGGGAUAUGGGGACCCCAUAGAUGGGGACGUUUGGGGUCGGCGGGGUUGGGGUGACCCCAUAGAUGGGGAUUUGGGGCCACCGGGGAUGGGGGGAACCCCAAGGAUGGGGACAUCUGGGGUCACCAGGGAUGGAGAUAUUGGGGUCACUGGGGUUGGGGGGACCCCAUAGAUGGGGACAUUUGGGGUCCCCAAGGAUGGGGGGACCCCAUAGAUGGGCAUUUGGGGUCAGCGGGGAUGGGGGGAACCCCAAGGAUGGGGACCUCUGGGGUCACCAGGGAUGGAGAUAUUGGGGUCACUGGGGUUGGGGGGACCCCAUAGAUGGGGACAUUUGGGGUCAGCGGGGUUGGGGUGACCCCAUAGAUGGGCAUUUGGGGUCACCAUGGAUGGGGGGGACAUAUGGGAUGCGGACAUAUGGGAACCCCAUAGAUGGGGAUUUGGGGACCCCAGGGAUAUGGGGACCCCAUAGAUGGGGACGUUUGGGGUCGGCGGGGUUGGGGUGACCCCAUAGAUGGGGAUUUGGGGUCGGCGGGGUUGGGGGGGGACCCCACAGAUGGGGCGGGUCGGGGCCAAUAGGGGCGGCGGCGCAGCCGCUAUGGGGACACAAAGGGCCGCCGCAAUGGGGGCAGCGCGGACGGGAGGAGCGGUUUAUGGGGUCGAUGCGGG